RNAcentral lists this unclassified non-coding RNA (221 nucleotides) under uncultured fungus. Its description in RNAcentral is "sequence contains ITS1, 5.8S rRNA gene". The stretch from base 173 to 221 matches the Rfam family "5.8S ribosomal RNA", at positions 1 to 49 of the family's 154-position model. Lineage: Eukaryota; Fungi. The record is from RNAcentral.
UCUCCGUUGGUGAACCAGCGGAGGGAUCAUUACUGAGUUUACGCUCUAUAACCCUUUGUGAACUACAACUCUGUUGCUUCGGGGGCGACCCCGCCGUUUCGGCGGUGGCGCUCCCGGUGGCCAAUUAUUAAACUCUGCAUCUCUUGCGUCGGAGUUAAAGUAAAUUAAACAAAACUUUCAACAACGGAUCUCUUGGUUCCAGCAUCGAUGAAGAACGCAGC